Long non-coding RNA from Rhipicephalus sanguineus (brown dog tick), 822 nucleotides. RefSeq lists it as uncharacterized. The transcript is spliced from 3 exons. The record is from RefSeq and is a predicted model, not a curated record. Lineage: Eukaryota; Metazoa; Arthropoda; Arachnida; Ixodida; Ixodidae.
ACACCACUACCAUCGCCGGAGAAGCUCCGUGCCAAGCACUUCGGGGAACCAGGAUCCUGCGGAUCUUCCCGCUGUCGCCGAAGCGAAAGAGCCCAGCCAAAGCAGUAAGGACUCUGAAGAGGAUACUGAAGAGACCACUGAUGUGGAGCAGGUCGAUGACCAUGAAGAUAUCAAAAUGGCAAAGCAGCCCGUGAUCCCGCGCAAGAUGUACCAGGUCCAAGUGGCCUAAGACAAGGCAAGUCUGCAAAAGAUACAAAGACCACCAGUGUCCGUGAACCACCUCGCAUUUUGUCACAAGUGAUACGGAGCCAGAGAUUGAAUUUCUACCAGCUCAAUUAAAGCCACGUGCUUCUGAUGUGUCUCUGACUGAGAAGCCGUUGAAGUCAUCCUUGAAGAAGUCGUCCAUUUCACCCGAUGACCAGCCUUAGGAAGUUAUGGCUUCUUUCCAAACCUGGACACACGAACUGCAGAUUAUGGAAAGCAGUAUGCUGACGUCCCCUUAUCAUCAACUGUCCGAGAUUCUUCACAAGAGCAAAACGAAUCUGAUGGGGGCCAGCACAAAGUUGCUUUUAUUUUGGGUAAUUAAUAUUCUGUUUUGAGUUUUUUGUUGUUGUGAGGCCUUUUCCAAUCAGCACCGGAAACAUAACUUAGCUGUUCACGGUGCUUACUUUUAAUGUCACAUUUGCUUUGCCGAUGUAACACAUUCAUGUUGGUCGGCAAUCUGGCUAACUAUUCCCUGUGUGCUGUGCUACAUAACAGAUAUGCCUCGAAGCCUCUUGUAAAUUUUCUUACUGAUCACAUUUCUUCAUAUAAAACAUACCA